GAUGAACGUUGGCGGCGUGCCUAAGGUAUGCAAGUCGAGGGAGAAACUUACUUCGGUAAGUGGAAACCGGCAAACGGCUGAGUAACGCGUAGGAAUUUUCCCCAAAGUCAAGGAUAGCCACUCGAAAGGGUGAUUAAUACUGGAUAAUCCUGUACCGCUUGGUACAAGGUAAAGGCUUCGGUCGCUUUGGGAUGAGCCUGCGUCCUAUCAGGUUGUUGGUGAGGUAAAAGCUCACCAAGCCUAUGACGGGUAGCUGGUCUGAGAGGAUGUCCAGCCAGAAUGGAACUGCGACACGGUCCAU
RNAcentral lists this ribosomal RNA (301 nucleotides) under uncultured bacterium. Its description in RNAcentral is "bacterial SSU rRNA". It matches the Rfam family "Bacterial small subunit ribosomal RNA", at positions 28 to 334 of the family's 1533-position model. The record is from RNAcentral.